This 381-nucleotide unclassified non-coding RNA is filed under the name uncultured bacterium. Its description in RNAcentral is "contains 16S-23S intergenic spacer region". The record is from RNAcentral.
UCCGAGUUGACCCCGGCAGUCUCCUACGAGUCCCCGGCAUUACCCGCUGGCAACAUAGGACAAGGGUUGCGCUCGUUGCGGGACUUAACCCAACAUCUCACGACACGAGCUGACGACAGCCAUGCAGCGCCUCGACUACGGUCCCUUGCGGGAGAACUCCUGUUUCCGGGAGCUUUCCGCAGCCGUUCGAGCCCAGGUAAGGUUCUUCGCGUUGCGUCGAAUUGAACCGCAUGCUCCACCGCUUGUGCAGGCCCCCGUCAAUUUCUUUGAGUUUUAACCUUGCGGCCGUACUCCCCAGGCGGAUGACUUAACGCGUUAGCUGCGCCACCGAAACGCUAAGCGCCCCGACAGCUAGUCAUCAUCGUUUACGGCGUGGACUAC